GAUGAAGAACGCAGCGAAAUGCGAUACUUGGUGUGAAUUGCAGAAUCCCGUGAACCAUCGAGUUUUUGAACGCAAGUUGCGCCCGAAGCCAUUAGGCCGAGGGCACGCCUGCCUGGGCGUCACACGUCGUUGCCCCCCCAUCUACUCCUUCGGGAUUGCGGGGGGCGGAUGCUGGCCUCCCGUGCGCCUCGUCGCGCGGUUGGCCUAAAUGCCAAGUCCUCGGCGACGCACGCCACGACAAUCGGUGGUUGCGAAACCUCGGUUGCCCGUCGUGUGCGGUCGUCGCGCAUCGAGGGCUCGAAAAAAUUGCCGGGCUUCGGCUCGACUUUCAACGCGACCCCAGGUCAGGCGGGGUUACCCGCUGAAUUUAAGCAUAUCAAUAAGCGGAGGA
Molecule: unclassified non-coding RNA, 391 nt
Filed under: soil metagenome
Description: partial contains 5.8S ribosomal RNA, internal transcribed spacer 2, and large subunit ribosomal RNA
Rfam family: 5.8S ribosomal RNA (bases 1-122)
Source: RNAcentral